GGAAGUAAAAGUCGUAACAAGGUCUCCGUUGGUGGAACCAGCGGAGGGAUCAUUACCGAGUUUACAACUCCCAAACCCCAAUGUGAACGUUACCAAUCUGUUGCCUCGGCGGGAUUCUCUGCCCCGGGCGCGUCGCAGCCCCGGAUCCCAUGGCGCCCGCCGGAGGACCAACUCAAACUCUUUUUUCUCUCCGUCGCGGCUUCCGUCGCGGCUCUGUUUUACCUUUGCUCUGAGCCUUUCUCGGCGACCCUAGCGGGCGUCUCGAAAAUGAAUCAAAACUUUCAACAACGGAUCUCUUGGUUCUGGCAUCGAUGAAGAACGCAGCGAAAUGCGAUAAGUAAUGUGAAUUGCAGAAUUCAGUGAAUCAUCGAAUCUUUGAACGCACAUUGCGCCCGCCAGUAUUCUGGCGGGCAUGCCUGUCCGAGCGUCAUUUCAACCCUCGAACCCCUCCGGGGGGUCGGCGUUGGGGAUCGGCCCCUCACCGGGCCGCCCCCGAAAUACAGUGGCGGUCUCGCCGCAGCCUCUCCUGCGCAGUAGUUUGCACACUCGCACCGGGAGCGCGGCGCGGCCACAGCCGUAAAACACCCCAAACUCUGAAAUGUUGACCUCGGAUCAGGUAGGAAUACCCGCUGAACUUAAGCAUAUCAAUAAGCCGGAGGAAG
This 662-nucleotide ribosomal RNA is filed under the name Trichoderma reesei. RNAcentral describes it as "eukaryotic LSU rRNA". The stretch from base 277 to 430 matches the Rfam family "5.8S ribosomal RNA". Lineage: Eukaryota; Fungi; Ascomycota; Sordariomycetes; Hypocreales; Hypocreaceae. The record is from RNAcentral.